GGCUUAGAGUUUAGUUAGGAUUUGAUUUAGGAUUAAGAUUUGAUUAGGAUUCGAUUUAGUAUUUAGAGUUUGGUUUAAGAUUGGGAUUCGGUUUAGGAUUUAGGAUUUUAUUAGGAUUUGUUUAGGGUUUAAGAUUUAAUUAGUUUUGGCCUAAAUUUUGAAUGAAGUUCAAUAGGAUUUUAACUAGGAUUAAAUUAAGAUUGAAUUGACAUGUAUUUGAAAUAUAUUUGUGAUAAUUGUAAUAUUUCUUUGAAAUUUCUUUGAGGUUUCUUUGAAUUUGAUUAAAGCUUGCUUAGUAUUAUUAUGGUGUAAUUGAAGUUUAGUUAGUAUUCUAUUAGAGCUAGAAUUUUGUUGUUGUAAUUUCCAUUCU
This 370-nucleotide long non-coding RNA is filed under the name Physcomitrium patens. RNAcentral's name for it is "long non-coding RNA (PPAT_LNC004044)". The record is from RNAcentral. Lineage: Eukaryota; Viridiplantae; Streptophyta; Bryopsida; Funariales; Funariaceae.